GACGAACGCUGGCGGCGUGCUUAACACAUGCAAGUCGAACGGAAAGGCCUGCUUUCCCUUGUGGAUUGCGGGUGCUCGCGUGGCGAACGGGUGAGUAACACGUGAGUGAUCUGCCCCCAACUUGGGUAUAAGCCUGGGAAACUGGGUCUAAUUCCCGAUAGGACUGCAGGGUGGUGCCUGUGGUGGAAAACGAUUUUCUAGUGGUUGGGGAUGAGCUCGCGGCCUAUCAGCUUGUUGGUGGGGUAAUGGCCUACCAAGGCGGCGACGGGUAGCCGGCCUGGGAGGGUGGACGGGAACAGUGGGACGGAGAUACGGCCCAGACUCCUACGGGAGGCAGCAGUGGGGAAUAUUGCACAAUGGGCGGAAGCCUGAUGCAGCGACGCCGCGUGGGGGAUGACGGGCUUCGGGUUGUAAACUCCUUUCGACCGCGAGGAAGCCACCUGGUUGGAAGGGUGGUGACGGUAGUGGUAGAAGAAGCACCGGCUAACUACGUG
RNAcentral lists this ribosomal RNA (494 nucleotides) under uncultured bacterium. RNAcentral's name for it is "partial 16S ribosomal RNA". It matches the Rfam family "Bacterial small subunit ribosomal RNA", at positions 28 to 507 of the family's 1533-position model. The record is from RNAcentral.